Molecule: ribosomal RNA, 470 nt
Filed under: uncultured bacterium
Lineage: Bacteria
Description: bacterial SSU rRNA
Rfam family: Bacterial small subunit ribosomal RNA
Source: RNAcentral
ACUCCUACGGGAGGCAGCAGUGGGGAAUAUUGCACAAUGGGGGAAACCCUGAUGCAGCCAUGCCGCGUGUGUGAAGAAGGCCUUGGGUUGUAAAGCACUUUCAGUAGGGAGGAAGGUAGUGUAGUUAACACCUGCAUUAUUUGACGUUACCUACAGAAGAAGCACCGGCUAACUCCGUGCCAGCAGCCGCGGUAAUACGGAGGGUGCGAGCGUUAAUCGGAAUUACUGGGCGUAAAGCGCAUGCAGGCGGCCUGUUAAGUCAGAUGUGAAAGCCCGGGGCUUAACCUCGGAAUUGCAUUUGAAACUGGCAGGCUAGAGUCUUGGUAGAGGGGUUAGAAUUUCAGGUGUAGCGGUGAAAUGCGUAGAGAUCUGAAGGAAUACCAGUGGCGAAGGCGGCCCCUGGACAAAGACUGACGCUCAGAUGCGAAAGCGUGGGAGCAAACAGGAUUAGAUACCCCGUGGUAGACUGU